RNAcentral lists this ribosomal RNA (379 nucleotides) under uncultured bacterium. Its description in RNAcentral is "bacterial SSU rRNA". It matches the Rfam family "Bacterial small subunit ribosomal RNA", at positions 28 to 407 of the family's 1533-position model. The record is from RNAcentral.
GACGAACGCUGGCGGCGUGCUUAACACAUGCAAGUCGAGCGGUAAGGCCCUUUCGGGGGUACACGAGCGGCGAACGGGUGAGUAACACGUGGGUGACCUGCCUCUAGCUCUGGGAUAAGCCUGGGAAGCUGGGUCUAAUACCGGAUAUGACCUCGCGGUGCAUGUUGCGGGGUGGAAAGCCUUGUGCGGCUAGGGGAUGGGCCCGCGGCCUAUCAGCUUGUUGGUGGGGUGANGGCCUACCAAGGCGACGACGGGUAGCCGGCCUGAGAGGGCGACCGGCCACACUGGGACUGAGACACGGCCCAGACUCCUACGGGAGGCAGCAGUGGGGAAUCUUGCGCAAUGGGCGAAAGCCUGACGCAGCGACGCCGCGUGAGGG